GGUAUGUUUUCAAAAAAUUUGUUUUUGAUGAUAACCUUUGGUUGGAGCUCCAUGGUCUAGUUGAACACUUGCAAGAAAUUUGGUUCAUUUUGUUGUAUAAGUGAUGUUUGUGCUCAAAUCUAUCUUAUAAAAACAAAUGGUUUUGGCACCAUGUAACGGUUCUGGAUGGUUAUUCUUAACUGAUAACAGUUCAUAUUCUUUCCAAACUGCCUCUCGGUGCAAGAGAUAAAUCUCGGCGGAGAAUUAACCCACCUCCAACGCCCCCAUCCGACGUAUGUGAGUAAUUCAAAACGGCUUUGAGGCAAAUAUCAGGGUCUUUCAGCGGGAAUCAAUGAAAAACGCAUCAACGGGAAUCAAUGUCUCCCUCAUUGUCAUUUAUAGAUCAAAAAGAAAACGCAACGAAGGAACUCAGUGUUGUUCCUUCAAAUGUGAAUCUAAAUUAUAAAACCACACACAGACAAUCUCAAUCCUAAAACCAGGAGAGUCGGUUUUUGAAAUUGUUAGGGUUUCUUUGUAGUCCAUUAUCUGGGCUUAUGGAAGCUGCUCUUUCUAAUGGGGGACUAAUUCUCUCAGCCACAAUGAAAGUUUUUUCGUCGUUGUAACUCGCUCUUCAUUCAUCUAACCAUCUAUGGCAAAAUUUGUGUUGAUGCUCGACAUAUUUGGAAACAAACCAACAUCCAUCAGUUUGCAGAACCAACUCCAAGGGGUCUUUGCAGUGAACAAUUCGUAUAAAUAAAUGUUUACUUCAGAUGAACCAAGGGGUCUUUGCAGCGACUGAACAAUUCAUAUAAAUAAGUGUUUCAUUCAGAUUCUUGGUAUUCCUACUAUAAUGUUAGGCUACAUAUGGGAUGACUGCUCUCUUGGUCACACACACCAGCCUCAUUUUAAAAUACCUAUCUACUUUUUCGGAUCCAACAACAACAAUUAAGACAGUCUGAUGUUCAUUGAAUUGCAACCAGGCACGGUUCUAUCACACUAGAAGUCAUGAUGCACAACAGAAAUUAAGAAUUCUCAACUAAUAUUACAACUCAGUGACAUCUGUAACCCUAUAUGCAGUUAAAAAUUAACCUCUGUGUACCAGUUACAGGUACAUGUUUUUUAAUGGGUGUCUAUUAUUACGGAAGAAAAACCAACUCGAAACACAAUGAAGGAUAUGGUAAAUCUCUUUGUCUAAUCUUGUUGUCUAUUUCUAUAGCGUCGUUGGUGAUUUUGCAGCUGCUACGUAUCUGUUGCAAUUUUUUUCUUCGCUCUCUCAGUCUCUGGCUAUCUCUCAUUUCUUUGGGACUGAGUCCUAAAAGAGUUACUGCUCGACAAAAUAAAGGGGUGACGCAAAAUACUUUUGUUAGUUUAUGUUUGCUAGCGAUAUUGAUCAAAUGAUGCUUAAAGUUUUAGAAAUUGUAUACUUUAAAAUACCCUUCUGCGUAAGUAUGUAUUUGAUUUCUUUAUUCCCAAAUAAGAGCUUUGUUGAGUUGUGUUAUAACAUUGUAGGAUUCAAUGCUUUUGUGAAGUUGUAAAGUUAAGCAUAGAAAGAUAUAGGCAUGUUAAAACGGAUCAUCACUUGAACAUUUUUGAGGUCUAAAUUUGUAAUCUUAUUUUUAAAGUUAAGUAUUUCUUCUUAUUUUUAUAUCCAAAUUACAUGAUGAUGGUGAUCAAG
Papaver somniferum (opium poppy) is the source of this 1654-nucleotide long non-coding RNA. RefSeq lists it as uncharacterized. The record is from RefSeq and is a predicted model, not a curated record. Lineage: Eukaryota; Viridiplantae; Streptophyta; Magnoliopsida; Ranunculales; Papaveraceae. The transcript has 5 exons.